GACGAACGCUGGCGGCGUGCCUAAUACAUGCAAGUAGAACGCACAGUUUAUACCGUAGCUUGCUACACCAUAGACUGUGAGUUGCGAACGGGUGAGUAACGCGUAGGUAACCUGCCUGGUAGCGGGGGAUAACUAUUGGAAACGAUAGCUAAUACCGCAUAAUAUUGAUUAUUGCAUGAUAAUUGAUUGAAAGAUGCUAUUGCAUCACUACCAGAUGGACCUGCGUUGUAUUAGCUAGUAGGUGAGGUAACGGCCCACCUAGGCGACGAUACAUAGCCGACCUGGGAGGGUGAUCGGCCACACUGGGAAUGAGACACGGCCCAGACUCCUACGGGAGGCAGCAGUAGGGAAUCUUCGGCAAUGGACGAAAGUCUGACCGAGCAACGCCGCGUGAGUGAAGAAGGUUUUCGGAUCGUAAAGCUCUGUUGUAAGAGAAGAACGGGUGUGAGAGUGGAAAGUUCACACUGUGACGGUAUCUUACCAGAAAGGGACGGCUAACUACGUG
RNAcentral lists this ribosomal RNA (505 nucleotides) under uncultured bacterium. Its description in RNAcentral is "partial 16S ribosomal RNA". It matches the Rfam family "Bacterial small subunit ribosomal RNA", at positions 28 to 507 of the family's 1533-position model. The record is from RNAcentral.